RNAcentral lists this ribosomal RNA (509 nucleotides) under Neostereopalpus niponicus. Its description in RNAcentral is "partial 16S ribosomal RNA". It matches the Rfam family "Bacterial large subunit ribosomal RNA", at positions 1816 to 2595 of the family's 2925-position model. The record is from RNAcentral. Lineage: Eukaryota; Metazoa; Arthropoda; Insecta; Coleoptera; Anthicidae.
CAUGUCCUUUUGUUUAUGAUUUAAGGUCUAGUCUGCCCAAUGAUUUAAUUGAAUGGCCGCAGUAUUUUGACUGUGCAAAGGUAGCAUAAUCAUUAGUUUUUUAAUUGAAAGCUGGUAUGAAUGGCUGGAUGAGAAAAAGACUGUCUCAUUGUUAUUAAUUAGAAAUUUAUUUUUAAGUAAAAAAGCUUAAAUUUUAUAGAAAGACGAGAAGACCCUAUAGAGUUUAAUAAACUUAAUUUAAAUGAUUUUUGGUAUAUAUUGUUUUUUAUGUUUUUGUUUAUUUUGUUGGGGUGAUAUAAAAAUUUAAUUAACUUUUUAAUGUUGUUUACAUUGAUGAUUGAAUAUUUGAUCCUUUAAUAAAGAUUAAUAGAUAAAAUUACCUUAGGGAUAACAGCGUAAUUUUAAUAGAGAGUUCAUAUCGAUAUUAGAGUUUGCGACCUCGAUGUUGGAUUAAAGUUUAAUUCUGAUGUAGAAGUUAGAAUGUUUGAGUCUGUUCGACUUUUAAAGCU